AGGCCCCGGGGCAAAUGGAGGGCGGCGUGCGCUGUGCUUAUCGGCCCCAAACGGGGCUGGAGCCGAGGCUCAUGGUGCAGGGAGAUUCGCCCGCCGCCGCCAGCAGCUCUGUCUUGGCAUUGCGCUGCCUACAGCCUACCCGGCCGUCACCGAACGCGGGAGCGCCGGGGAUCUGGGCGGAGGAGCCAGGAGAGUCGGGGAGGCACGGGGUGUGAAGUGCGGCCACUAUAGCAACCAGCGCACGGCUCCUUCCGCGGGUUGUGACCUUUGAAGAGAAAUGCCGUAGAAGCAUGGACGUGGCUUUUCACCAAGGUUAUUCAUUAAUUUAAGUGUUUUUUUUUUAAUUUUAUUUUAUUUUAUUUUAUUUUUUGAGACAGGUACUCACUCUGUCUCCCAGGCCGGAGUGCAAUUAUCUGUACAAUUGAUAAUCUAUAAGAUGGUCCAACCUGCGUAACAGAGUGAGAUUCCGUCUCAA
RNAcentral lists this non-coding RNA (475 nucleotides) under Pan troglodytes (chimpanzee). The record is from RNAcentral. Lineage: Eukaryota; Metazoa; Chordata; Mammalia; Primates; Hominidae.